This 490-nucleotide ribosomal RNA is filed under the name uncultured bacterium. RNAcentral describes it as "partial 16S ribosomal RNA". It matches the Rfam family "Bacterial small subunit ribosomal RNA", at positions 28 to 523 of the family's 1533-position model. The record is from RNAcentral.
GACGAACGCUGGCGGCGUGCUUAACACAUGCAAGUCGAGCGGAAAGGCCCUUUCGGGGGUACUCGAGCGGCGAACGGGUGAGUAACACGUGAGUAAUCUGCCCUUGGCUUUGGGAUAACCACCGGAAACGGUGGCUAAUACCGGAUACGACCACUCCCGGCAUCGGGUGGUGGUGGAAAGUUUUUUCGGCCUGGGAUGUGCUCGCGGCCUAUCAGCUUGUUGGUGGGGUAAUGGCCUACCAAGGCUUCGACGGGUAGCCGGCCUGAGAGGGUGACCGGCCACACUGGGACUGAGACACGGCCCAGACUCCUACGGGGGGCAGCAGUGGGGAAUAUUGGACAAUGGGCGGAAGCCUGAUCCAGCAACGCCGCGUGAGGGAUGACGGCCUUCGGGUUGUAAACCUCUUUCAGUACCGACGAAGCGCCGAUGAUGGCGGUGACGGUAGGUACAGAAGAAGCACCGGCCAACUACGUGCCAGCCGCCGCCGUAA